GUGUGAAGAAACAGUGCUCAUUACGUUGAAUACCAAGAGUUCGAAAACCUUUGCCAAGCAAUUCAAUAUAGAGAUACCCCUGUAAUUCUCUACGAGAUGUAUGUUCCCAGAUUUGUGAAUGGGAGUGAUUGCAGCAGUUUUCCAGAGUUUAGGGAAGGUAAAUGUCUCCAGGGACUUGUUAAAUAUCAUGCUUACCGGAAGUGCCAGAGAGUCACAGCACCGCUUGAUGAAAAUCGGGGGCAGACUUUGCUUAGCGAUGUCGGUGGGGUUGCCUCUAUAAAUUUUUAUAGCUUUCCUCAGGCGGUUUUUUAAAUUCGAUAGCUCACGAUUCCACCAUUCAAAUUUUUUGGGGUUAUGGCGGGCACGCGCUGGUACGUUUCUACUUAGAAUAUCGUUAAUGCGUGAGUAAAAAGCCUCAGUUGCUGAAUCUACAUCAAGCGUGCUGGGAUCAAGAAUGGAGGUCCAAUUUUCUUGCUGUAUGAUAAAGUCGAGUUCGUUAAAGUCGCAGUUUCUAAAAUCGUACCGAACGUCACUUGCGUCGUCAACAUCCUCAAAAGUGUUUGAAGUAAAUGAAACUACGAACGGGGGGUGGUGGGAAUCCUCACGCAGAAGUGGCUGAGGGGGUUCGAAAACCUGGAAACUCGUGGAGUCGCUUGUGAAGGCCAGAUCCAACAUACGCUCGUUGGAGUUUUUAAUGUUGUUCAUUUGAUGUAAACCAAAAUCUGUUAGCGCGUUAAUGACAAUAUAUUCCUUCGAUUGAAGCAAAUCGGGAACGUCAACGUUAAGAUCGGUAUCAGGAAGAAAACUAUUCAAUUCUUCGUCGAAAAUCCAUGAAACGUAGGGCAAGUUAUAAUCUCCUAUUACCAACAAUGAAUCUGUGCUUGAGAGCUGCUCGGAUAAUUGUUCGAUGCAGAGCGUAUGAGAUUUGUAGCUGGAAGCAGUCAAAUCAGGACUCAGAUAAACCGCGCAAAUGAAUAAUGAACAAAAUCCGAGUUUGAUGCGUACACACGUUUGCUCGAGGUGCGCGCUAUGACGAAGAGGAACUUCGCUACACGAAAGAGAUGGUCUUACUGCUAUGAUAACACCUCCCCCUCUUCCUAGAUUGCUAGUCUGGGCUGAGCGAUCAGCUCUAUAAAUUUGAUAACUAGCAGAAAACUCUGCGCUAUUGAUGCCCGCAUGCAACCAGGUUUCAGAAAAAACAAUCACAUCGUACUCACAUUCAGCUAGUGCGAUGAACAGCUCCCUUGUCUUUGUACGCAAACCUCUAACGUUUUGGUAGUAAAUCGUCAAUUCAUGUUUGCGAUUAGGGUUCACGGUUGAGGCGCACAGCUUGCUCGGAAGCGACGCAAUAGCUACGUCGGUAUGGGACGAUGAAUAAACAAUAUCAUCAUUAGCUUGUAGAUGUUCACUCGCGUCGAUGAUUUGAUGGGCGUCGCCAAAGACCGACGGCUUGUUUAUAAAUUGUGUUCUGAACAAGUUCGGUGCGGAAGAUUGUGCAAGUCCGGUUGGAUCCACGGGAUCGGGGCGAUAUGACGAUACCAGCUGGCCAGAAUCCGUUUGCGGUUACGGCGGAUUCAGGGAUAUUUUUUGAAGUGAUGAACUUUACGACGUCGCCGCAGGAUGUUGUGGUCGUGAAGUUCCGGACGC
Uranotaenia lowii is the source of this 1647-nucleotide long non-coding RNA. RefSeq lists it as uncharacterized. The record is from RefSeq and is a predicted model, not a curated record. The transcript is spliced from 3 exons. NCBI's taxonomy places the organism in Eukaryota, Metazoa, Arthropoda, Insecta, Diptera, Culicidae.